AGUGUGAUUUCUGGAUCAUGUGGUAAGUCUAUUUGUAUUUUUUUUGAGAAAACUUAAUGUUUUCCAUAGUGACUGUACCUUUUACAUUCCCACUAGUAGU
This 100-nucleotide microRNA precursor is filed under the name Marmota monax (woodchuck). Lineage: Eukaryota; Metazoa; Chordata; Mammalia; Rodentia; Sciuridae. The record is from RNAcentral.